This is a long non-coding RNA of Amphimedon queenslandica, 775 nucleotides long. RefSeq lists it as uncharacterized. NCBI's taxonomy places the organism in Eukaryota, Metazoa, Porifera, Demospongiae, Haplosclerida, Niphatidae. The transcript has 3 exons. The record is from RefSeq and is a predicted model, not a curated record.
AUAUUAGAGUACAUAGGGAUUGGAAACGGGCCGUAGCAACAGGAAAAUGCUAGUUGAUAGUACCGUAAAUAAUUUCUCUAAAUACUCGUAUGUAAUAUUAAAAUGGCUGAAAGUUGAAAAAGGUAACCCUUCAAUAAUGUUGAGAGACAUUCUUUCUGUUUGCCCAAGCUGUCUGCUGUAGCAAUGUAUCUGUUUGCAGUUUAAAUUCAGUGUUUUAUGAAUUGUUGAUCACAUUUACUAUAUUUAGUUCUAUAUUUUGAUUUGUACAACCUAUUGAUAGAAAUGGUGUUGGCGACCUCCGGUGUGUUCUAAGCAAUACGAUGGUGUGAUAGUUAAUGUCACAGACCCUUUGGUUUUUAUGUUAAGGAAAGAUGCAAUCAUAUUUCCAAACGAAACAUAGUGGGCGACCUCCACAUUAUGAAUCUCUAUUGAGUGGGUGAAUCAGUUAUUGUCUUCUGUCUAACACUACUGAGAUAAGGGUACAAAACAAAAUGUCAUUCUAAGCAUUCUCAUUCCAGAGCAAAUAUUCAGUGCAAAUGAUGAUGCUAGCAACAUAAAAAUUAGUCUGGGGAUAGAUGCUAGUCUCUUCUGCUUCCUUUGAUAUAAAUAAUGACGUAUAGUGACACCACUGCUGGAAUGACAGGUCUCAAAAAGACAGCUCUCGCUCAAAGACAGUCUCCGUUGCUAGGCGUUGCUAGAUGCAAAUGUCAACUAGCAUCCGUAUCCUAGCGAUGUAUACGGAGAUACCCCGUUUCCAAUCCCUCUGUACUCUAAU